GUAUCCCUUGGGGAAAGCAAUUUGUGGGUAGCUUCAGUGUAUUGUAAAUUACUGUUUUAACUUGUUCCUAAAGUAACUCAAAUUUACACCAUGAUUUGCAUUAGCAACGUCAUUUUAUGGCUCUUUAGUUUUCCAUGUUUUUAUCUAUAUGUAUAAAAAUUGUUCUACAAAAAAAUUUAUUAUUGUGUGAUGUGCAGACGAAGUGUUUUUAACUUUUUGUAUAUGAUGACUUUAGGGUAGCACAAACAUGGCUUCUUUAUAGCUCACAUUUCUCAGUCCUCUUUCGAGAUGCUUUACUGUUGAGAAUGAUACCCACACACUUCCAGGAUACCCUGAGGCACUGUGCACGGUUAACAGGUUACACUUAAGUUACUUGCUUUGCUCACACCUUAUGACAUUAACGUAUAGAAAGGCUCUUUGUCCUUCACAGGGGAGCCUGAGUAUAAACCAGAGUUACUGCUCCCUUGGCCUCUGUCCUCUUCUGGUUCCCAUCCCGUCCCCUAUCUUUUCAGCCUAAUGAACAGCAUUGUUUUUAAUUCUCUUGUCACAGGCAUGGUGGUCUAAUAGAGCCAAGAUCACAUUGGGUAUUAAAGUUUCUGUACACACAUCACCACCCGACAGGUCAACAAAGAUCUCCCUUGGAGUCAGCCCAUAAUCUAUGAACAGAAAUUGUGCUUAUUAAAGCAAUCUCCAUUUUAAAAAAAUGUUUUUUUCAAGAUGAGACAUUUGAAGUAACUUUUUAAAGUAAGUUUUAUAAAAAUAUGUGUUCCUCUUUAAAUAGGAGUCUGUUCAAAAUUAGAAGUUAUUGACAGUCAUUUGUAGCUUGUAAUUUUCCAUUUUUCUAACCACUGUCAUUUUUUCUUCUCACAUAAAGUGCCUAUCCAGCACAAUAUACUGGAGACAGUCUCGGACACUAGGGACUGCCAUCAUGUUGAGCACAGUUGAUAUGGACAGAUGAGGUCCUUUCAUAAGAAGCCUCCAAGUUUCUUUCCUUCCUCUGCAUUUACUAAAUAGCUUUAGGUUCCAUUUCCAGUGGUGUUUUGUAAUACUAUGAUAAACUAAUCCAAUCAUGAUUUAUUCAUUCUCUAGACAACUUGAAUAGUGUAUGAAUGUUCACCCAGUUUCAACAUUAAAUAUGUAAGCUGGGCUUAUAAUUAAAACAAAAUUUUAUCAAAAUAUAAGGAACUUCAUUACUCCCCAUUUUAACAGAUCCUGGAAACAAGUGGGGGAGUCAGUCUUCUCCUCAUUUAACUGAUUCAUGUUAGUUUCUUGUCUACUAGAUGUCCCAGCUCUGUGGUAGGAAUGAUCAAGUGCACUAACUUUGCUACCAACUUUCAACCGCUUGUAGAGCAGAAUAUUCAUUUGAAGGGUGUGGGGUUGUCUAGAAGUAAUGUCAUAAAAUGCUAAGCAUGUCCUCUGUAAUAAAACAUAAGGUUCUUAAUAGUUUAAUUACUAUGGAAUUCAGAUUACUUAGAAGUAUUUAAGUGCAAUCUUGAAUUAUGAAGUUGAGAUGUAUAUAUUAGGAUGUCAACUUGAUGUAAAGUAAAUGAGCAGUUACCUGAUGGAUCUUUUUUAAUAACUGGUUUAAUCCACAACCCUAAAGCGUAGCUUCACUCAGUAUUUAUAGUAUCUUUGUCCAUUCAACAACACUCCAAUAAGGAAAUAGUAGGAAAUAGCUGAGAAUUACUGGAGGAUUUUAUUUAUUUUUAUUAGGAAAAUAAGUUUCUAGAGUCUUGAGUGCUGGAUAAUUCUUUUGUCUUUCCCAUUCAUGGCAGCUAAAAAAAAAAAAUCACUCAAAAUAUUCAGGUUUACAUGUUAUGCUCUUAUAAGGAGCUAUCAUACCUCACAAUUCAAAGUGUUUUCUCAAUCAGUAACAUGAUACUGACAUGUAAUUGCAAUUUACUAUGCAGCAAUGAUUCAAGAGAAAUAACAUGCGUGUCUAUUUACCUCUGUAUAGGCAAUGCUUACAUUACUCUACUUUCAACAUUUGUACUCUGAUAAAUGCUUAUGUAUGUAUAGGAAUGUCACAGUGAAGAUGCUGCUAGCCCGGGCACAGAG
Long non-coding RNA from Rattus norvegicus (Norway rat), 2058 nucleotides. The record is from Ensembl. NCBI's taxonomy places the organism in Eukaryota, Metazoa, Chordata, Mammalia, Rodentia, Muridae.